GGGAGUAACAGACGGGUGAGUAACGCGUGGGAACAUGCCCUCUGGUUCGGAACAACCCCGGGAAACUGGGGCUAAGACCGGAUACGCCCUUUGGGGGAAAGGCCUUGGUUGCCGGAGGAGUGGCCCGCGUCCGAUUAGCUUGAUGGCGGGGUAACGGCCCACCAUGGCUUCGAUCGGUAGCUGGUCUGAGAGGAUGGCCAGCCACAUUGGGACUGAGACACGGCCCAAACUCCUACGGGAGGCAGCAGUGGGGAAUAUUGGACAAUGGGCGCAAGCCUGAUCCAGCCAUGCCGCGUGAGUGAUGACGGCCUUAGGGUUGUAGAGCUCUUUCGCGCACGACGAUAAUGACGGUAGUGCGAGAAGAAGCCCCGGCUAACUUCGUGCCAGCAGCCGCGGUAAU
This 400-nucleotide ribosomal RNA is filed under the name uncultured bacterium. RNAcentral describes it as "bacterial SSU rRNA". It matches the Rfam family "Bacterial small subunit ribosomal RNA", at positions 91 to 524 of the family's 1533-position model. The record is from RNAcentral.